GAUGAACGCUGGCGGCGUGCCUAAUACAUGCAAGUCGAGCGAACGGACGAGAAGCUUGCUUCUCUGAUGUUAGCGGCGGACGGGUGAGUAACACGUGGAUAACCUACCUAUAAGACUGGGAUAACUUCGGGAAACCGGAGCUAAUACCGGAUAAUAUUUUGAACCGCAUGGUUCAAAAGUGAAAGACGGUCUUGCUGUCACUUAUAGAUGGAUCCGCGCUGCAUUAGCUAGUUGGUAAGGUAACGGCUUACCAAGGCAACGAUGCAUAGCCGACCUGAGAGGGUGAUCGGCCACACUGGAACUGAGACACGGUCCAGACUCCUACGGGAGGCAGCAGUAGGGAAUCUUCCGCAAUGGGCGAAAGCCUGACGGAGCAACGCCGCGUGAGUGAUGAAGGUCUUCGGAUCGUAAAACUCUGUUAUUAGGGAAGAACAUAUGUGUAAGUAACUGUGCACAUCUUGACGGUACCUAAUCAGAAAGCCACGGCUAACUACGUGCCAGCAGCCGCGGUAAUACGUAGGUGGCAAGCGUUAUCCGGAAUUAUUGGGCGUAAAGCGCGCGUAGGCGGUUUUUUAAGUCUGAUGUGAAAGCCCACGGCUCAACCGUGGAGGGUCAUUGGAAACUGGAAAACUUGAGUGCAGAAGAGGAAAGUGGGAUUCCAUGUGUAGCGGUGAAAUGCGCAGAGAUAUGGAGGAACACCAGUGGCGAAGGCGACUUUCUGGUCUGUAACUGACGCUGAUGUGCGAAAGCGUGGGGAUCAAACAGGAUUAGAUACCCUGGUAGUCCACGCCGUAAACGAUGAGUGCUAAGUGUUAGGGGGGUUUCCGCCCCUUAGUGCUGCAGCUAACGCAUUAAGCACUCCGCCUGGGGAGUACGACCGCAAGGUUGAAACUCAAAGGAAUUGACGGGGACCCGCACAAGCGGCGGAGCAUGUGGUUUAAUUCGAAGCAACGCGAAGAACCUUACCAAAUCUUGACAUCCUUUGACAACUCUAGAGAUAGAGCCUUCCCCUUCGGGGGACAAAGUGACAGGUGGUGCAUGGUUGUCGUCAGCUCGUGUCGUGAGAUGUUGGGUUAAGUCCCGCAACGAGCGCAACCCUUAAGCUUAGUUGCCAUCAUUAAGUUGGGCACUCUAAGUUGACUGCCGGUGACAAACCGGAGGAAGGUGGGGAUGACGUCAAAUCAUCAUGCCCCUUAUGAUUUGGGCUACACACGUGCUACAAUGGACAAUACAAAGGGCAGCGAAACCGCGAGGUCAAGCAAAUCCCAUAAAGUUGUUCUCAGUUCGGAUUGUAGUCUGCAACUCGACUACAUGAAGCUGGAAUCGCUAGUAAUCGUAGAUCAGCAUGCUACGGUGAAUACGUUCCCGGGUCU
RNAcentral lists this ribosomal RNA (1373 nucleotides) under uncultured bacterium. Its description in RNAcentral is "bacterial SSU rRNA". It matches the Rfam family "Bacterial small subunit ribosomal RNA", at positions 28 to 1381 of the family's 1533-position model. The record is from RNAcentral.